RNAcentral lists this ribosomal RNA (441 nucleotides) under uncultured bacterium. Its description in RNAcentral is "partial 16S ribosomal RNA". It matches the Rfam family "Bacterial small subunit ribosomal RNA", at positions 338 to 795 of the family's 1533-position model. The record is from RNAcentral.
CCUACGGGCGGCAGCAGUGGGGGAUAUUGCACAAUGGGGGGAACCCUGAUGCAGCGACGCCGCGUGGGUGAAGGAGUGCUUCGGCAUGUAAAGCCCUAUCGGCAGGGAAGCAGCCAGACGGUACCUGACUAAGAAGCCCCGGCUAACUACGUUCCAGCAGCCGCGGUACUGCGUAGGGGGCGAACGUUAUCCGGAUUCACUGGGUGUAACGGGAGCGUAGACGGCCAUGCAAGCCAGAGGUGAAAGCCCGGGGCCGAACCCCGGGACUGCCCUUGGAACUGCAUGGCGGGAGUGCGGGAGGAGCAGGCGGAAUGCCUGGUGUAGCGGUGAAAUGCGUAGAUAUCAGGAGGAACACCGGCGGCGAAGGCGGCCUGCUGGACUGCGACUGACGUUGAGGCUCGAAAGCGUGGGGAGCGAACAGGAUUAGAGACCCGUGUAGUC